UUAGUAUGUUCGUGGUGAAAG
Caenorhabditis elegans is the source of this 21-nucleotide non-coding RNA. The record is from Ensembl. Lineage: Eukaryota; Metazoa; Nematoda; Chromadorea; Rhabditida; Rhabditidae.